GAAACUGCAAGGGAACAUCCGAGAAAAUUAGAACGAUCCAGAGAAGAUUAACAUGGCCCCUGCGCCUGGAUGACAUGCACAAAUCGAGAAGUGUACCAAGUUUAA
RNAcentral lists this small nuclear RNA (105 nucleotides) under Symbiodinium microadriaticum. The record is from RNAcentral. Lineage: Eukaryota; Dinophyceae; Suessiales; Symbiodiniaceae.